Molecule: ribosomal RNA, 334 nt
Filed under: uncultured fungus
Lineage: Eukaryota; Fungi
Description: eukaryotic LSU rRNA
Rfam family: 5.8S ribosomal RNA (bases 1-113)
Source: RNAcentral
AACGCAGCGAAGGGCGAUAAGUAAUGUGAAUUGCAGAAUUCAGUGAAUCAUCGAAUCUUUGAACGCACAUUGCGCCCGCCAGUAUUCUGGCGGGCAUGCCUGUCCGAGCGUCAUUUCCAACCCUCCGAACCCCUCCGGGGGGGUCGGCGUUGGGGACUUCGGGAACCCCUAAGACGGGAUCCCGGCCCCGAAAUACAGUGGCGGUCUCGCCGCAGCCUCUCAUGCGCAGUAGUUUGCACAACUCGCACGGGGAGCGCGGCGCGUCCACGUCCGUAAAACACCCAACUUCUGAAAUGUUGACCUCGGAUCAGGUAGGAAUACCCGCUGAACUUAA